RNAcentral lists this ribosomal RNA (742 nucleotides) under Enterobacter sp. ENT02. RNAcentral describes it as "partial 23S ribosomal RNA". It matches the Rfam family "Bacterial large subunit ribosomal RNA", at positions 2189 to 2925 of the family's 2925-position model. The record is from RNAcentral. Lineage: Bacteria; Pseudomonadati; Pseudomonadota; Gammaproteobacteria; Enterobacterales; Enterobacteriaceae.
ACCUUGAAAUACCACCCUUUAAUGGCUGGUGUUCUAACGUAGACCCGUAAUCCGGGUUGCGGACAGUGUCUGGUGGGUAGUUUGACUGGGGCGGUCUCCUCCCAAAGAGUAACGGAGGAGCACGAAGGUUAGCUAAUCCUGGUCGGACAUCAGGAGGUUAGUGCAAUGGCAUAAGCUAGCUUGACUGCGAGAGUGACGGCUCGAGCAGGUGCGAAAGCAGGUCAUAGUGAUCCGGUGGUUCUGAAUGGAAGGGCCAUCGCUCAACGGAUAAAAGGUACUCCGGGGAUAACAGGCUGAUACCGCCCAAGAGUUCAUAUCGACGGCGGUGUUUGGCACCUCGAUGUCGGCUCAUCACAUCCUGGGGCUGAAGUAGGUCCCAAGGGUAUGGCUGUUCGCCAUUUAAAGUGGUACGCGAGCUGGGUUUAGAACGUCGUGAGACAGUUCGGUCCCUAUCUGCCGUGGGCGCUGGAGAAUUGAGGGGGGCUGCUCCUAGUACGAGAGGACCGGAGUGGACGCAUCACUGGUGUUCGGGUUGUCAUGCCAAUGGCAUUGCCCGGUAGCUAAAUGCGGAAGAGAUAAGUGCUGAAAGCAUCUAAGCACGAAACUUGCCCCGAGAUGAGUUCUCCCUGACCCUUUAAGGGUCCUGAAGGAACGUUGAAGACUACGACGUUGAUAGGUCGGGUGUGUAAGCGCAGCGAUGCGUUGAGCUAACCGAUACUAAUGAACCGUGAGGCUUAACCUU